Molecule: ribosomal RNA, 487 nt
Filed under: uncultured bacterium
Lineage: Bacteria
Description: partial 16S ribosomal RNA
Rfam family: Bacterial small subunit ribosomal RNA
Source: RNAcentral
GAUGAACGCUAGCGAUAGGCUUAACACAUGCAAGUCGAGGGGCAGCACAAGGUAGCUUUCUAUCUGGGUGGCGACCGGCACACGGGUGCGUAACGCGUAUGCAACUUUCCCUAUACAGGAGGAUAACCCGUCGAAAGACGGACUAAUACUGCGUAUGCUCACAACUUGGCAUCAAGUGGUGAGGAAAGAAAUUCGGUAUAGGAUAGGCAUGCGUCCCAUUAGCUUGUUGGUGAGGUAACUGCUCACCAAGGCAACGAUGGGUAGGGGAACUGAGAGGUUUAUCCCCGAGACGGGUACUGAGAAAAGUACCAGAGUCCUACGGGAGGCAGCAGUGAGGAAUAUUGGUCAAUGGGAGCGAGCAUGAACGAGCGAAGUCGCGUGAAGGAUGACUGUGUGAUGGAUUGUAGCCUUCUUUUAGACGGGAAUAACAAGAGUCACGUGUGACUCACUGCAUGUACCGUAUGAAUAAGCAUCGGCUAACUCCGUG